RNAcentral lists this ribosomal RNA (564 nucleotides) under Triticum aestivum (bread wheat). RNAcentral's name for it is "partial small subunit ribosomal RNA". The record is from RNAcentral. Lineage: Eukaryota; Viridiplantae; Streptophyta; Magnoliopsida; Poales; Poaceae.
AUGGUUAUCGUGAAGGGUCUUGAUGAGUGGCCGAAUGAGUUCCAGAGACAGUAUGAGACUAUUGACCUGUAUUGGAUUGUGCGAGAUGGAGGACUGAUGCUUCUUUUGUCUCAGCUCCUGCUCACAAAACCGGCCUUCGAAAACUACAAGAUCCAAGUCUUCUACAUACUUGAAGAGGACACUGAUGCUGCAGAGCUAAAAACUGAUGUAAAAAAGUUCUUGUACGAUCUUAGGAUGCAUGCCGAGGUCAUUGUCGUGACUAUGAAGUCCUGUGAAUCUCAUGUGGAGAGCAGUAGCAGUGGUGCACAACCAGAUGAUUCCCAAGAGGCCUACACAAGUGCACAACAAAGGGUCGAUAAAUUCCUCUUCACAAUGUUUAAGUUGAACUCCACAAUACUAAGGCACUCCAGGAUGGCAGCUAUGCUGCUAGUGAGGCUCCCUCCGCCACCGCUGAAUCAUCCUGCAUACUUCUACAUGGAGUACAUGGAUCUGCUUGUAGAGAACGUCCCACGCAUGUUGACAGUUAGGAGAUAUAGAAGAGAUGUUGUCAGAUUUUUUACUUGA